GAUGAACGCUGGCGGCGUGCCUAAUACAUGCAAGUCGAGCGAACAGACAAGGAGCUUGCUCCUUUGACGUUAGCGGCGGACGGGUGAGUAACACGUGGAUAACCUACCUAUAAGACUGGGAUAACUUCGGGAAACCGGAGCUAAUACCGGAUAACAUUUUGAACCGCAUGGUUCUAAAGUGAAAGACGGUUUUGCUGUCACUUAUAGCUGGAUCUGCGCCGGAUUAGCUAGUUGGUAAGGUAACGGCUUACCAAGGCUACGAUGCGUAGCCGACCUGAGAGGGUGAUCGGCCACAUUGGAACGGAGACACGGUCCAUACGCCUACGGGAGGCAGCAGUAGGGAAUCUUCCGCAAUGGGCGAGAGCCUGACGGAGCAACGCCGCGUGAGUGAUGAAGGCGUUCGGCUCGUAAAACUCUGUUAUUAGGGAAGAACAAAUGUGUAAGUAACUGUGCACGUCUUGACGGUACCUAAUCAGAAAGCCACGGCUAACUACGUG
RNAcentral lists this ribosomal RNA (497 nucleotides) under uncultured bacterium. RNAcentral describes it as "partial 16S ribosomal RNA". It matches the Rfam family "Bacterial small subunit ribosomal RNA", at positions 28 to 507 of the family's 1533-position model. The record is from RNAcentral.